UACGAAGGGGGCUAGCGUUGUUCGGAAUCACUGGGCGUAAAGGGCGCGUAGGCGGCCGAUCAAGUCGGGGGUGAAAGCCUGUGGCUCAACCACAGAAUUGCCUUCGAUACUGUUUGGCUUGAGACCGGAAGAGGUUAGUGGAACUGCGAGUGUAGAGGUGAAAUUCGUAGAUAUUCGCAAGAACACCAGUGGCGAAGGCGGCUCACUGGCCCGUAACUGACGCUGAGGCACGAAAGCGUGGGGAGCAAACAGG
This 253-nucleotide ribosomal RNA is filed under the name uncultured bacterium. Its description in RNAcentral is "partial 16S ribosomal RNA". It matches the Rfam family "Bacterial small subunit ribosomal RNA", at positions 524 to 776 of the family's 1533-position model. The record is from RNAcentral.